RNAcentral lists this ribosomal RNA (373 nucleotides) under uncultured bacterium. RNAcentral describes it as "bacterial SSU rRNA". It matches the Rfam family "Bacterial small subunit ribosomal RNA", at positions 527 to 896 of the family's 1533-position model. The record is from RNAcentral.
AGAGGGUGCAAGCGUUGCUCGGAUUUACUGGGCGUAAAGCGUACGCAGACGGUCUAGCAAGUCGGAUGUGAAAGCCCCGGGCUCAACCUGGGAAAUGCAUUCGAUACUACUAGUACUUGAGUUUGGGAGAGGGAAGCGGAAUUCCUGGUGUAGAGGUGAAAUUCGUAGAUAUCAGGAGGAACACCAGCGGCGAAGGCGGCUUCCUGGCCCAAUACUGACGUUCAGGUACGAAAGCGUGGGUAGCAAACAGGAUUAGAUACCCUGGUAGUCCACGCUGUAAACGAUGAGUGCUGGAAUGUCGGGGGUAUUCACCCCCUCGGUAUCGAAGCCAACGCGUUAAGCACUCCGCCUGGGGAGUACGGCCGCAAGGUUG